GCUUCCAACUCGUACCUUUUGCAUCAUGAUUUAGCCAGCAACCUCCAAGCAAAGAGCACUUUAGUUUGGCCCCCCGAAACUAGGUGAGCUACUCCAAGACAGCUUAUUAAUAGAGCAAACCCGUCUCUGUGGCAAAAGAGUGGGAAGAACUUCGAGUAGCGGUGACAGACCUAUCGAACCUAGUCAUAGCUGGUUGCCUGAUAACUGAAUAGGAGAUCAGCCUCUCAACUUCUCCCCUCCCGCCUUCAAACCCCGGACCCCUAAGAAAUUGAGAGAGUUAGUCAAAGGGGGUACAGCCCCUUUGACACAAGACACAACUUUACCAGGAGGGUAAAGAUCACAAUAACACCCCAAGGAACAAUGCUCCGGUGGGCUUUAAAGCAGCCACCCCCUCAGAAAGCGUUCAAGCUCUAGCAUUCCCCCUAUCAUCCCCCGAUCCUGAUAGCCCUAUCUUAACCCCCUCACCCUACCAGGCCUUCCCAUGCAAACAUGGGAGUAAUAAUGCUAAUAUGAGUAAUAAGAGGACAUCCGCCCCUCUCCCCGCACAUGUGUAAAUCGAAA
RNAcentral lists this ribosomal RNA (561 nucleotides) under Drepane punctata (spotted sicklefish). Its description in RNAcentral is "partial 16S ribosomal RNA". It matches the Rfam family "Bacterial large subunit ribosomal RNA", at positions 590 to 1362 of the family's 2925-position model. Lineage: Eukaryota; Metazoa; Chordata; Actinopteri; Ephippiformes; Drepaneidae. The record is from RNAcentral.